Pteronotus mesoamericanus is the source of this 105-nucleotide small nuclear RNA. The record is from RefSeq and is a predicted model, not a curated record. NCBI's taxonomy places the organism in Eukaryota, Metazoa, Chordata, Mammalia, Chiroptera, Mormoopidae.
UGCAGCAUCAGCAGCACAUAGACUGAAAUUGGAAUGACAGAGAGAAGAUUAGCAUGGCCCUUGUGCAUUGAGGACACACAAAUGUGUGAAACAUUCCAUAUUUUU